RNAcentral lists this ribosomal RNA (225 nucleotides) under Staphylococcus aureus. Its description in RNAcentral is "partial 23S ribosomal RNA". It matches the Rfam family "Bacterial large subunit ribosomal RNA", at positions 100 to 324 of the family's 2925-position model. Lineage: Bacteria; Bacillati; Bacillota; Bacilli; Caryophanales; Staphylococcaceae. The record is from RNAcentral.
UGAUCCAGAGAUUUCCGAAUGGGGAAACCCAGCAUGAGUUAUGUCAUGUUAUCGAUAUGUGAACACAUAGCAUAUCAGAAGGCACACCCGGAGAACUGAAACAUCUUAGUACCCGGAGGAAGAGAAAGAAAAUUCGAUUCCCUUAGUAGCGGCGAGCGAAAUGGGAAGAGCCCAAACCAACAAGCUUGCUUGUUGGGGUUGUAGGACACUCUAUACGGAGUUACA